This 70-nucleotide transfer RNA is filed under the name Dipodomys ordii (Ord's kangaroo rat). It matches the Rfam family "tRNA". Rfam says of the family: Transfer RNA (tRNA) molecules are approximately 80 nucleotides in length. Their secondary structure includes four short double-helical elements and three loops (D, anti-codon, and T loops). The record is from Rfam by way of RNAcentral. Lineage: Eukaryota; Metazoa; Chordata; Mammalia; Rodentia; Heteromyidae.
GGGAAUGUGGCCUAGUGGUAGAGUGCUUGCCUAGCAAGCAAGAACCCCUGGGUUUGAUUCCUCAGUACCA